This 433-nucleotide ribosomal RNA is filed under the name uncultured bacterium. RNAcentral describes it as "partial 16S ribosomal RNA". It matches the Rfam family "Bacterial small subunit ribosomal RNA", at positions 29 to 507 of the family's 1533-position model. The record is from RNAcentral.
AGCGAACGCUGGCGGCAGGCCUAACACAUGCAAGUCGAACGAACUCUUCGGGGUUAGUGGCGGACGGGUGAGUAACACGUGGGAACGUGCCCUUAGGUUCGGAAUAACUCAGGGAAACUUGUGCUAAUACCGAAUGUGCCCUUCGGGGGAAAGAUUUAUCGCCUUUAGAGCGGCCCGCGUCUGAUUCGCUGGUUGGUGAGGGAAUGGCUCACCAAGGCGACGAUCAGUAGCUGGUCUGAGAGGAUGAUCAGCGACAUUGGGACUGAGACACGGCCCAAACUCCUACGGAAGGGAGCAGAGGGGAAUCUAGCGCAAUGGGCGAAGGCAUGACGCAGCCAUGCGGGGUGAAUGAUGAAGGUCUUAGGAUUGUAAAAUUCUUUCACCGGGGACGAUAAUGACGGUACCCGGAGAAGAAGCCCCGGCUAACUACGUG